AACGUAGGAGACAAACGUUAUCAGGAGUUACUGGGCGUAAAGGGCGUGUAGGUGGUAGUGUAAGUCUGGCGUGAAAUUUUUCGGCUUAACCGGGAAAGGUCGUCGGAUACUGCACAACUAGAGGACGGUAGAGGCGUGUGGAAUUCCGGGUGUAGUGGUGAAAUGCGUAGAGAUCCGGAGGAACACCAGUGGCGAAGGCGACACGCUGGGCCGUACCUGACACUGAUGCGCGACAGCAUGGGGAGCAAACAGG
Molecule: ribosomal RNA, 253 nt
Filed under: uncultured bacterium
Lineage: Bacteria
Description: partial 16S ribosomal RNA
Rfam family: Bacterial small subunit ribosomal RNA
Source: RNAcentral